GCUGGGCACGGUGGUUCCUACCUAUAGUCUCAGUCACUCAGGAGGCUGAAGUGGGAGGAUCAUUUGAGCCCAGGAGUUCUGGACUGUAGUGCGCUAUGCCGAUCGGGUGUCCGCACUAAGUUUGGCAUCAAUAUGGUGACCUCCUGGGAGCGGGGGACCACCAGGUUGCCUAAGGAGGGGUGAACCAGCCCAGGUCGGAAAUGGAGCAGGUCAAAACUCCCGUGCUGAUCCGUAGGGGGAUCGCGCCUGUGAAUAGCCACUGCACUCCAGCCUGGGCAACAUAGCAAGACCCUGUCUCU
This 299-nucleotide signal recognition particle RNA is filed under the name Aotus nancymaae (Ma's night monkey). Its description in RNAcentral is "Metazoan signal recognition particle RNA (ENSANAG00000008496.1)". It matches the Rfam family "Metazoan signal recognition particle RNA". From Rfam's summary of the family: The signal recognition particle (SRP) is a universally conserved ribonucleoprotein. It is involved in the co-translational targeting of proteins to membranes. The eukaryotic SRP consists of a 300-nucleotide 7S RNA and six proteins: SRPs 72, 68, 54, 19, 14, and 9. Lineage: Eukaryota; Metazoa; Chordata; Mammalia; Primates; Aotidae. The record is from RNAcentral.